AGAGUUUGAUCCUGGCUCAGGAUGAACGCUGGCGGCGUGCUUAACACAUGCAAGUCGAACGAAGCACUUAAGAACGAUUCUUCGGAUGAAGUCUUUUGUGACUGAGUGGCGGACGGGUGAGUAACGCGUGGGUAACCUGCCUCACACAGGGGGAUAACAGUUGGAAACGACCGCUAAUACCGCAUAAGCCAACAGGGGCGCAUGCUCUGGUUGGAAAAGAUUUAUCGGUGUGAGAUGGACCCGCGUCUGAUUAGCCAGUUGGCAGGGUAACGGCCUACCAAAGCGACGAUCAGUAGCCGGCCUGAGAGGGUGAACGGCCACAUUGGGACUGAGACACGGCCCAAACUCCUACGGGAGGCAGCUGUGGGGAAUAUCGCACAAUGGGGGAAACCCUGAUGCAGCGACGCCGCGUGAGUGAAGAAGUAUUUCGGCAUGUAAAGCUCUAUCAGCAGGGAAGAAAAUGACGGUACCCUGACCCAAGAAUCCCCCGGUUAACUUACGUGCCCAGCACCCGCGGCAAUACGUAGGGGGCAAGCAUUAUCCGUAUUUUUUUGUGUGUAAAGAGAGCGUAGCCGGUGAUUCAAGUCAUAAGUGAAAGCCCGGGGCUCUACUCCGGGACUGUCUUUGAAAACUGUCCAACUGGAGGGGCGGGAGAGAUAAACGGAAUUCCCACUGUACUGGUGUAAAUGCCUCUAAUUUAACGAGGAAACCCCGUGGCGAAUUGCGGCUAAUCGCACUGAAACUGAUCCUUAGCUCUUCAAAGCGUGAGGAAUUCCGAAGGAUUUAAUCCCUUGUGUAUCUCUCCCCGUAAAAGAUGUAU
Molecule: ribosomal RNA, 820 nt
Filed under: uncultured bacterium
Lineage: Bacteria
Description: bacterial SSU rRNA
Rfam family: Bacterial small subunit ribosomal RNA
Source: RNAcentral